RNAcentral lists this ribosomal RNA (369 nucleotides) under uncultured bacterium. RNAcentral's name for it is "bacterial SSU rRNA". It matches the Rfam family "Bacterial small subunit ribosomal RNA", at positions 521 to 896 of the family's 1533-position model. The record is from RNAcentral.
UAAUACGUAGGACCCAAGCGUUGUCCGGAUUUACUGGGUGUAAAGGGUGCGUAGGCGGAUAGGUGCGUCAGAGGUGAAAUUUCCCGGCUUAACUGGGAGGGUGCCUUUGAUACGGCUUGUCUUGAGUGCGAAAGAGGAUGAUGGAAUUCCUGGUGUAGCGGUGAAAUGCGUAGAUAUCAGGAGGAACACCCGUGGCGAAGGCGGUCAUCUGGUUCGCAACUGACGCUGAGGCACGAAAGCGUGGGGAUCAAACAGGAUUAGAUACCCUGGUAGUCCACGCCUUAAACGAUGUAUGCUUGAUAUCGGAGAAAUUCGGUGUCGUAGGUAACCUGGUAAGCAUACCACCUGGGAAGUACGAUCGCAAGGUUG